ACUGUUUCGGCUAGGGGGCCAUCCCGGCUUACCAACCCGAUGCAAACUGCGAAUACCGGAGAAUGUUAUCACGGGAGACACACGGCGGGUGCUAACGUCCGUCGUGAAGAGGGAAACAACCCAGACCGCCAGCUAAGGUCCCAAAGUCAUGGUUAAGUGGGAAACGAUGUGGGAAGGCCCAGACAGCCAGGAUGUUGGCUUAGAAGCAGCCAUCAUUUAAAGAAAGCGUAAUAGCUCACUGGUCGAGUCGGCCUGCGCGGAAGAUGUAACGGGGCUAAACC
Molecule: ribosomal RNA, 281 nt
Filed under: Salmonella enterica subsp. enterica serovar Corvallis
Lineage: Bacteria; Pseudomonadati; Pseudomonadota; Gammaproteobacteria; Enterobacterales; Enterobacteriaceae
Description: partial 23S ribosomal RNA
Rfam family: Bacterial large subunit ribosomal RNA
Source: RNAcentral